This 226-nucleotide ribosomal RNA is filed under the name uncultured bacterium. RNAcentral's name for it is "partial 16S ribosomal RNA". It matches the Rfam family "Bacterial small subunit ribosomal RNA", at positions 538 to 763 of the family's 1533-position model. The record is from RNAcentral.
GCGUUGUCCGGAUUUAUUGGGUUUAAAGGGUGCGUAGGCGGCCCUGUAAGUCAGUGGUGAAAUACUUCAGCUUAACUGUAGCAUUGCCAUUGAUACUGUAGGGCUUGAGUACAGAUGAGGUAGGCGGAAUUGAUGGUGUAGCGGUGAAAUGCAUAGAUACCAUCAAGAACACCGAUUGCGAAGGCAGCUUACUAAACUGUAACUGACGCUGAGGCACGAAAGCGUG